This 447-nucleotide ribosomal RNA is filed under the name uncultured bacterium. RNAcentral describes it as "bacterial SSU rRNA". It matches the Rfam family "Bacterial small subunit ribosomal RNA", at positions 43 to 499 of the family's 1533-position model. The record is from RNAcentral.
UGCGCCUUAUGCAUGCAAGUCGAGCGAAGCUUUUCAGUAGUUUACUACAGAAAAUGACUGAGCGGCGAACGGGUGAGUAACGCGUGAGCAAUCUACCUUAGUUACAGGGAUAGCCCGAGGAAACUCGGAUUAAUACCUGAUAUUCUUUAUAUUUCGCAUGAAAUUAAAAGGAAAGGUCAGCCGAACUAAGAUGAGCUCGCGUUCUAUCAGCUAGUUGGUGAGGUAAAAGCUCACCAAGGCUACGACGGAUAGCUGGUCUGAGAGGACGAUCAGCCACACUGGGACUGAGACACGGCCCAGACUCCUACGGGAGGCUGCAGCAGGGAAUAUUGCGCAAUGAGCGAAAGCUUGACGCAGCGACACCGCGUGUGGGAUGACGGAUCUAGGUUUGUAAACCACUUUCAGGAGGGAAGAAAAUGACGGUACCUCCACAAGAAGCCCCGGCCA